Non-coding RNA from Kogia breviceps (pygmy sperm whale), 1349 nucleotides. NCBI's taxonomy places the organism in Eukaryota, Metazoa, Chordata, Mammalia, Artiodactyla, Physeteridae. The record is from RefSeq and is a predicted model, not a curated record.
GGUGCCAUCAGAGGCCUGGGUGGUCUGACCACCCCAGGUUCUGAUUAAAGGCCACCCAGGGAGAUGCCAGCCACGUGGCAGUGAACCUGCUGCGAUGCUACAGCCUACCUGUUCUCCCCAGCUUCUGUCUCCAGCCACCCCUCCCCAGCAUCUACUACUGACCCCCCCGGGUUAAGCUCUUCACACAGGUUUAUAGGAAUCUAUCUCCUUUCUCCGCUGCCCGAGAGGCAGUCUCCCCGGCUCCCAGAACUCUGAGGUCAGCUCAAUUCCGUCUCCUCCCAGGAGGCCUCCCCAGUCAGUGUACUUGUCACUCAUCACGGACUAUUUUUGUAUUGACCCUCAAGGGCUAUCCGGUGAGUCACCUUCCUUCCUGAGCAGCAGGGACCCCUCCGUGUGAGCCAGGCACAAAGCAGGCACUCGCUGAGCAGCUGUGAGACCUUCAGGCCUGAUCUAAGAGCACCCUCCAAACCCACCUGGCAUGAAGGAGGAAAUGAAGCAUGAGGAGCUGGAUCAAACUGUUGGGGCAAAGCACUGCAGGAGAGACCAUCAACUACAGGAACUGACAGGGGAAAAAGGGAAUAAGAACCGACUCAGAAGCAGGAAUUCUGAGCUAGAAGAGAACCACUUUAUAACCAGCUUAGAAGACCUGGAUGGAACUGGAAAGACAGGCACGAGGAACUCAUUGUCACGGGACAAAUGAACUACUUCCUUCAGCAGAGAGGAACCAGCAGGCCCAGAGGUGAAUGCUACGUGGAUUUAAACUACAGCUAACAUGAAUAGUCACUGGGAUCAGCUAAAUUAAUACAAUCUCCCGUUUAAUACCAUUAGUUUUUAGAGGACCAGAAAGAGCUCCUUCUCACUUAAUCUUUAUAGGCCUCGCACUUGAUCCAGCCACAUGUGUAGUUCUUAAGAAGGGACUCUGAGCUGCCAUUGCCUCCCUGAGGGAUCCUUUCCUGACCUCUUCUUUCACCUUACUCCUAGCUCAUCACUCCUGGCUGGGCCAGAGUACCUUUGGUUCCAUGCUCUUACCACAUACAUGUUUACCUGUAUCUCCUCUCUGAGCUGGGAACUCUUUUAGAGCAGGGAUUAAGUCUGUUUUCUCUCUGCCUCCCCAGAGUCCAGUAUAGGAUCUAGCACAGAGUAAGUAUUUGAUAAAUGUUUGAUGAUCUGAACCAAAACAACUGGGCUGAAUUCUUCAAAAUGCCAAUGUCAUAUCAUGGAAGGUAGAUAAAAAAGGCUGGAAAACUGCUCUAGAUAAAAGAAGACUAAAGAAACAGGAUAACUAAAUGCAGUGGAUCACCCUUCACUGGAUCUUGGAUUAGGAAAAAAAAAAGCUACAAAGAACAUUA